GGAGGAAUAUUGGUCAAUGGGCGGAAGCCUGAACCAGCCAUGCCGCGUGAAGGAAGAAGGUCCUAUGGAUUUUAAACUUCUUUUGUCGGAGAGCAAUAAGGGUCUCGCGAGAUCCGAUGAGAGUAUCCGACGAAUAAGCAUCGGCUAAUUCCGUGCCAGCAGCCGCGGUAAUACGGAAGGUCCGGGCGUUAUCCGGAUUUAUUGGGUUUAAAGGGAGCGUAGGCCGGAGAUUAAGCGUGUUGUGAAAUGCCGCGGCUCAACCGUGGCACUGCAGCGCGAACUGGUUUUCUUGAGUGCGCGCGAUGCAGGCGGAAUUCGUGGUGUAGCGGUGAAAUGCUUAGAUAUCACGAGGAACCCCGAUUGCGAAGGCAGCUUGCGGGAGCGCAACUGACGCUGAAGCUCGAAGGUGCGGGUAUCGAACAGGAUUAGAUACCCUGGUAGU
This 442-nucleotide ribosomal RNA is filed under the name uncultured Prevotella sp. Its description in RNAcentral is "bacterial SSU rRNA". It matches the Rfam family "Bacterial small subunit ribosomal RNA", at positions 355 to 794 of the family's 1533-position model. The record is from RNAcentral. Lineage: Bacteria; Pseudomonadati; Bacteroidota; Bacteroidia; Bacteroidales; Prevotellaceae.